AUGGUUAUUUUUUCUUGUUAUUAUGCAUUACUAUUGAUUCAUGUGCAUGUGCUAAAAAGAAAGAAAAUACCCUACUGGAUGCGGAUGCGGACGCCAACUAACAAGUUUUCACUUUCUGACGUGGGCGCAGGGGUGAUCGACGUGGACUACCAUCGCCUGGUGGGCGUCGUGCUCUUCAACCACUCAGAGGCAGACUUCAUCGUGAAGCCGGACGAUCGCGCCGCACACAUGAUCGUCCAGGUCAUUGCAACGCAGGAGGUCGCCGAGGUGGACGACCUCGACGCCACCGUCCGCCGGGAGGGACUGCUCAGAUCCACCAACGUUUCAACUCCGAAACUUGGUAGAUACAUCUAG
This 354-nucleotide ribosomal RNA is filed under the name Triticum aestivum (bread wheat). Its description in RNAcentral is "partial small subunit ribosomal RNA". Lineage: Eukaryota; Viridiplantae; Streptophyta; Magnoliopsida; Poales; Poaceae. The record is from RNAcentral.